Frankliniella occidentalis (western flower thrips) is the source of this 3030-nucleotide long non-coding RNA. RefSeq lists it as uncharacterized. The transcript has 2 exons. Lineage: Eukaryota; Metazoa; Arthropoda; Insecta; Thysanoptera; Thripidae. The record is from RefSeq and is a predicted model, not a curated record.
CGUCCACAUCACGGACAUCGGCGUGGGCUACAUCUCCACGAUGCUGUCUCUCAGCGCCCUCUUCCUCCGCUGGUGCUCUCAGGUCCGGGACUUUGGCCUGCAGCACCUUUGCGGCAUGAGAAACCUGCAAGUGUUGUCACUAGCAGGCUGCCCGCAGCUCACCUCCAGCGGUCUGUCCAGUCUGAUCCAGCUCCGCCACCUCCAGGAGCUGGAGCUGACCAACUGCCCGGGUGCCUCGCAGGAGCUGUUCGAGUACCUGCGGGAGCACCUUCCGCGCUGUCUGGUUAUUGAAUAAUCGCCCAAAGAAACUGUCAUUCGGAAGAGCCACUAGUCAUCAAACCAUGGUUUCGUCUACCGUCAGCAGUAUGAGAGGAAUGAUGGCAAAUAUCUCUCCUUUGGGUAUCAGCUGUGAUACAUCAGGAGUGGCGGUUGUGUGGCGCGCACUGACCUAGCACUCAUGUAUAUACAUUUUGUAAAAUAGAAAAACUUACUUCUUCCAAAGGGUAUUGUGAUGAUGUGUUACUAGUGUAUCUGAGAGAACGUGAGCGUAUGUGUCUGUUUGUGUGUUGUGCGAGUGUGUUGCAGAACAAUGUCGAUGUAUAACUUUGUACCUGAUGGAAUAGGAUUGAGGGGUCGGCAAUCACGUCUCAGUAUUGUGUGGGGAUGCCCCUUUGUCAGGCAAGUAUUACCAGAAUAAAACAAUCUGUCUGUUUUUUCUAGUCUAAAAAGAAAUUUGCACAUCAUUAAAUUGUACUCUCUCUCAGUGCAUUUCUCUCUCCUUUAAAAUCAAAAUCUGUAAUAUAGCAAAAUAUUCCAUGACCGAAGUAUACAACUGUGACGAAACAAUAUAAUGUGUGUGUAAGCCUUUGGUUAGUGUUCUUUUUUUAUGAGUUACAUUUAAUGUAGUUCCAGAAAGUGUGGAAGUGAUAGCGGUAUCUUCUCUUUUGAUCCGUCCUUUCAAAACAGCAUGCUUACCUUUGCUGUCCUUGCAUUCUCCCAGGUCAUGAAUAAGAUAGAAAGGGUGAAACAAAAUAACAUGACAGUACUGAAAUAAGUUUUAAUUUUUAGUAAUUUAUGAAUUUCUUGACGGCAAUGCUUCUUUUCUCAAGAAGCAAGUUAUUCCAAUUUCAAAUAUAUCAUGCUGUACCUCCUUCCACUUAAAUUCUAGAGAAUGGUCAUUCAUAUGUACUUUGACUAAAAUUAUACGUCCUCCAAACUGUAAAUUUAAAAUCGAUUUUGUAGAUGUAAAAGCACUUUAGUGAUAGAAAGAAAUUUUCCCAUAUGUUACAGUUUGUUUUACCUCAGCGAUGGCGAUAAUAUAUUAGUGAUUUUCUUGUUACUUUAUUGUUCGAGUGAAGUUACAGGUGUAUAAACUAUACUAUGUACUCAUACCCUUUAAUAUCCCCCAUCUGAAAUCACUGCUAUGACAUAUCUUGCUAACCAAUUUUGUAAACGUAUGGAAUUAAAAUGUAACUAAAUUUCAAAAGCUUUUUCACAAUUUAAAGAAUUCGGUUUAAGAAAAUAAUGACAACAAAACUUCUAUAGUGUAGUCAAUAAUCUACUUAUUGUGCUACAAAAAAGGCAUGAUUUCUAUAGAAUCCACUGUUAUAAGUGCAAGGACAAGCAAAACUGAAACAAAUAGGCAUUCUACUGUUCUCAGAAAAAUCUGUUAUUUUCCCCUUUGAUUUGAUUUAAGAACAUGAUACUUCCAAGACUGAAAGAUAAUAAUUUUGCUGCCCAAGUACUCUUCAACAAUAACUGGGCAUUCCCUGAAGCCCAACAGACAUUUUAAAAACCUCUCGGAGGAAAAAUAAGAUUUUUUUCUGUAAAUGCAACCCCCUUUCCCUGCCUCGCUUUUCUCUAGAUUUUACACAUGUUAAGUCUUUCAGAAACUCAAAGAAACUCAUAAUUGUCUUAUGCCAAACUCCCAAACUCUAUUUGUGGUAUGCUUAACAAAAGAUCAAGGUUUAUCAGAACUAAGUUGAUUUAAUUUUUGUUAACUAACCAUUCUUGGCCCUAAAAAGAGGCCCCAGAUAGUUUGCUGUAGACUCAAGUUCAAGUAUUUUCCUAGACUGAAAAAUUCUAUCAUCAGCAAGCACAUUGUCUGACAACCCGUGUCCUAACCAUACGAAACACAGGAGGGAUUUGUAGGAUCACUUAAGAUUAGAAAAACAAAAUGUGUUAAAUUUCUUUAUGUUAGAUAAAUACUUAAAGUACCAUGUAGAAAUGUUUUUACAUUAUAUAAUAUUUAACUACAAUGUUCUAAAUGUAAGAAACAUAGACAACAAAAAAGAACAAAGAAAAAUGUUUUGAUGACACUUUAAGCGCAUUGUUGUAAAUGAAAGUAUAUUCAUUGACAGUACAACAAAAAAUUACAGGAAAAUGGUCCAUUUCUCAUUUCAUUAACCGAGUUUUUGAUAUAGAAUUAGGUCAGUUGUCAGCAGAAGAGGAAAGGAAAUACUUUUAAAAUGUAUAAACAAUCACUAUUUUUUCAGGGGAAAGAUUAAAUUUUAACAUUGUGCAUAUCUGAGAACUUUAAUAGAGAUACACUUUGUGGUUUCACUGGAAUGUAUAGUCCAAAGUUAUUUUCUUAGAUGUUGGAGACUUGGUAGGUAAGGUAUGGUUGCUAUUUAACAAUUAAACCCAGUUCUUGGGCCAAUAUACGUAAGUGCUUAACUCUAUAUGACCUCCCUGCAAGUCUGGUAUCUAACUAAUCAUAUAUUGGAUUGCAUGUCAAAAGCUGUGGGACUAUGAUGAUUUCCCAAAUUAUUUCAUCCAUCUUUAAACCAAAGGAAGAGCUUUAGCCAACAAAUGCAUAAUAAGGAGUUGUGAAAACAAUCCAAGACAAUUCUUGUUUAUGGUUCUGUGUCUUCAUUUCGUUGUAGUGUUUGUCUCCUGCAAAAAUCCAUGACCAUGUAAAAAAAUAUGUAAAAUUGAAAGAAUUAUUCUGUAUUUUAGAGAACUAGUUGAAUGAAUCUGAAUGUCAUUGAUGUUCUUGAAACAAUAAAUCCAUGACAAAAAUUUAAAAAA